UUCUAGUCUAAAGUAGUGCACUAUAUAUAGGGAAUAGGGCUCUGGUCUAAAGUAGUGCACUAUAUAGGGAAUAGGGCUCUGUUCUAAAGUAGUGCACUAUAUAGGGAAUAGGGCUCUGGUCUAAAGUAGUGCACUAUAUAGGGAAUAGGGCUCUGGUCUAAAGUAGUGCACUAUAUAGGGAAUAGGGCUCUGUUCUAAAGUAGUGCACUAUAUAGGGAAUAGGGCUCUGUUCUAAAGUAGUGCACUAUAUAGGGAAUAGGGCUCUGUUCUAAAGUAGUGCACUAUAUAGGGAAUAGGGCUCUGGUCUAAAGUAGUGCACUAUAUAUAGGGAAUAGGGUUCUAUAGGGCCAUGGUCUAAAGGGUGCCAUUUGGGAAGCAUCCAUGAGCUUCAAGAAAUAAUCAGUAAGCAAUCAAUCAAUCAAUCAAUCAAUCCCCACCCAUCAAUAUUACAUGUGCAUAGAAAUGCAUGGCACAGCUUCUUCAAGCUGCUAUAUCGACUCCUUGUCAAUGUACUUGAAUGCCUUGUUGUGUACAGAUACACAAGCCCUCCAAUGGGAGCAAUACUGGAAUACAGGGAGGGGAGGGGUCUUAUUGAAUCAACCAAUCAUACGGAGACAUGGAGGGGUCUUACCCAAUCAUAUGGUGAUGUGGAGGUCAAACUGUGAGAGACUGACUGGCUGGCUGGCUGGCUCACUGUCUGACAGUACAAUCAUGGACCCUAAUCAAUACUGUUGCUUGGCAUGGUUUGCACAUUGGGGCAGAUACCAGGGGGUACUAUAGGUUCCUGCCCAUUGGGGCAGAUACCAGGGGGUACUAUAGGUUCCUGCCCAUUGGGGAAGAUACCAGGGGGUACUAUAGGUUCCUGCCCAUUGGGGCAGAUACCAGGGGGUACUAUAGGUUCCUGCCCAUUGGAGCAGAUACCAGGGGGUACUAUAGGUUCCUGCCCAUUGGGGCAGAUACCAGGGGGUACUAUAGGUUCCUGCCCAUUGGAGCAGAUACCAGGGGGUACUAUAGGUUCCUGCCCAUUGGAGCAGAUACCAGGGGGUACUAUAGGUUCCUGCCCAUUGGGGCAGAUACCAGGGGGUACUAUAGGUUCCUGCCCAUUGGGGCAGAUACCAGGGGGUACUAUAGGUUCCUGCCCAUUGGAGCAGAUACCAGGGGGUACUAUAGGUUCCUGCCCAUUGGGGCAGAUACCAGGGGGUACUAUAGGUUCCUGCCCAUUGGGGCAGAUACCAGGGGGUACUAUAGGUUCCUGCCCAUUGGAGCAGAUACCAGGGGGUACUAUAGGUUCCUGCCCAUUGGGGCAGAUACCAGGGGGUACUAUAGGUUCCUGCCCAUUGGAGCAGAUACCAGGGGGUACUAUAGGUUCCUGCCCAUUGGAGCAGAUACCAGGGGGUACUAUAGGUUCCUGCCCAUUGGGGCAGAUACCAGGGGGUACUAUAGGUUCCUGCACAUUGUUGUCAAGUGUGCAUAUGUGUUUAGAACACAUGAAACGCAGCUAUAACUACUGUUCCAAGAAGGAGGGAAACGAGGUACAACACACUAUGGGGAGUGGCUCUUCGGGGUGAAGGAUCUAGAAUCACGCCUCACAAGGCCAAUUUACAUCCUCUCCUUGUUGAAAGCCACACCUUCCGCAGGUGAUAAGCGUGAGGCUCAGAUUAAUUCCUUCAAUUAAAUUACCGCUCUUUACCGAGCCCAGGAACAGGUGUUGUACCUCGUUUCCCUCCUUCAGAAAACAGUAGUUAUAGUCAAAACGUUUACGUUCCCUUCCAGUCAGUCAACUUUGGUACAACAUACUAUGGGGAAAUAUAAUCCCUCCCCAAGCCUCCCCAAGCCAACCCUAACGGAUACUAAAUGAACCUGACCCCCACCAGAUGCGGUUGUUCCCCUUGUCCCCUGGUCCCAGCCGUAAGCACACUGUGCGCUGCCUGGUGACUUCCCCUUGUCCCCUGGUCCCAGCUGUAAGCACACGGUGCGCUGCCUGGUGACUUCCCCUUGUCCCCUGGUCCCAGCCGUAAGCACACGGUGCGCUGCCUGGUGACUUCCCCUUGUCCCCUGGUCCCAGCCGUAAGCACACGGUGCGCUGCCUGGUGACUUCCCCUUGUCCCCUGGUCCCAGCCGUAAGCACACGGUGCGCUGCCUGGUGACUUCCCCUUGUCCCCUGGUCCCAGCCGUAAGCACACGGUGCGCUGCCUGGUGACUUCCCCUUGUCCCCUGGUCCCAGCCGUAAGCACACGGUGCGCUGCCUGGUGACUUCCCCUUGUCCCCUGGUCCCAACCGUAAGCACACUGUGUGACGUCCAAGCGAUAAAACCUCACACGUGUGUGGUGAUGCCCAACUAUCUCCUAUAGUCAACGCUUUAAACAACGGCCGACACGUUGCCAGACUCCCGGUGGAGUGGGCACGUACACCGCGCUAGGUAACCCCUUGCUGCUAUGUGCCAGAGAGAGAGAGAUCCCCCACAAUCCAGUGGGAGAGACGCUGCUGAGAGAGCGUCCUGCUGGAUUAGCAAAACAGAAGAAAAACAAUAUGCUGGUCACAUGACCCAGGCCCGUUCAAUAUACGUGAAGUGAAGUUCGCACCGGACACACGGCAUGUAACCUCCGUUGCUCUUCAGAAAGCAAACAGAGGAGGCUGAAAAGGGAAAUGGCUCAUAAGCUAAGGAUCUGUAGGACAUGUCGGAGAAAAGGGCGCAUUUGGACCUUAAGAGUCGCUCGGGGUGGGGGGGACUGGGGACUGAGGUUGAAGGUUGAGGCCGAGUCUAUAGGAGAAAGCCCUGCCUCCAGCUGUUUGCUUAGAAAUUCUAGGGACAAUUAGGAGGCCUGCGUCUUGUGACCGUAGCGUACGUGUAGGUAUGUACGGCAGGACCAAAUCAGAGAGAUAGGUAGGAGCAAGCCCAUGUAAUGCUUUGUAGGUUAGCAGUAAAACCUUGAAAUCAGCCCUUGCCUUAACAGGAAACCAGUGUAGAGAGGCUAGCACUGGAGUAAUAUGAUACAUUUUUUGGGUUCUAGUCAGGAUUCUGGCAGCCGUGUUUAGCACUAACUGAAGUUUAUUUAGUGCUUUAUCCGGGUAGCCAGAAAGUAGAGCUUUGCAGUAGUCAAAAGCAUGGAUAUAUUUGUUGAACCUCUUCCAUAUCUGGUCAACAGCAGUACACUGUCAGAAGUUCUGGGUAAGUCUCUUUGAAAAGAUGUUGAAAGGGGGCCACACCCACCCAGAUUGUUGAAAGGGGGCCACACUCACCCAGAUUGUUGAAAGGGGGCCACACCCACCCAGAUCGUUGGAAGGGGGCCACACCCACCCAGAUCGUUGAAAGGGGGCCACACCCACCCAGAUUGUUGAAAGGGGGCCACACCCACCCAGAUCGUUGGAAGGGGGCCACACCCACCCAGAUUGUUGAAAGGGGGCCACACCCACCCAGAUCGUUGAAAGGGGGCCACACCCACCCAGAUCGUUGGAAGGGGGCCACACCCACCCAGAUCGUUGGAAGGGGGCCACACCCACCCAGAUCGUUGGAAGGGGGCCACACCCACCCAGAUCGUUGGAAGGGGGCCACACCCACCCAGAUCGUUGGAAG
This is a long non-coding RNA of Oncorhynchus keta (chum salmon), 3574 nucleotides long. RefSeq lists it as uncharacterized. Lineage: Eukaryota; Metazoa; Chordata; Actinopteri; Salmoniformes; Salmonidae. The record is from RefSeq and is a predicted model, not a curated record. The transcript is spliced from 3 exons.